Molecule: transfer RNA, 76 nt
Filed under: Gammaproteobacteria bacterium
Lineage: Bacteria; Pseudomonadati; Pseudomonadota; Gammaproteobacteria
Description: tRNA-Ile
Rfam family: tRNA
About the family: Transfer RNA (tRNA) molecules are approximately 80 nucleotides in length. Their secondary structure includes four short double-helical elements and three loops (D, anti-codon, and T loops).
Source: RNAcentral
GUCUCGAUAGCUCAACUGGUAGAGCUCGCGAUCGAUAAUCGCGCGGUCAGAUGUUCGAAUCAUCUUCGAGACACCA